Long non-coding RNA from Paramormyrops kingsleyae, 2215 nucleotides. RefSeq lists it as uncharacterized. The record is from RefSeq and is a predicted model, not a curated record. Lineage: Eukaryota; Metazoa; Chordata; Actinopteri; Osteoglossiformes; Mormyridae.
CUGAGAAUUCGGAUGCAGGUGGCGCUGAGAUAAUCGAACAGCAGACGAAGCUGGAUUGAAAGCCGAAAUCACUCAGCUGUUUAACCAAUCACGCUGAUCAGAUUUGUGAGUCUGGGUUUCAAUUAUGUUUAAUGAGGUUAUAAAGAAAAGAUACCAUUUAAUAGUCAAGUACAUCCUGACAGCCAGCCAACAGGCUAUAAAUCUCCAAAACUGAUCCCACUCUGCUUAUGAGUAAACCUAAGAACUUAAAUUCAACAUUAAUGAUUGAAAAGUCGACAACUUAAAAACAUCAGAUCAAUUGAAUAUGAAAAGUAAUUUGGGAUGAUGUCGUUUAUGAAGUUGAAAAUUUAUAAACUGAGAUCUGCCUUCAAUAAAGGGGCAGCCAUAUGGGACAGCCAUAGCAAAUGACAAACUGAAGACUGACAACUCUGAAAAGAUGAAGAACAUUCCAUUCAGGUUUGCAGCAAAUUGGUACAUCAAAUCCCUGUUUCUGAAGAACUUUACAUGUGGCAAGCAUAAGCUUUUUUGGAUUAGCGCAGAGAGCUCCUAUAUCUCUGUGCCUCAGGAUUAUCCAGUUAAAGUGUUUUUAUAUUUAAUUGCUUUGCUGACACCUUUAUCCAGAAAGAUUCACAGUUUAUAUCUGUUUAUACAACCAGACAUUUUACUGGAGGUGUUCAAGAUAAGUACCUCGCCCAAUAGCGUAGCAGCACGCCCAAACUGAGACACCACCCGCAAAACAAAUUGCAAUCAUGGGGCAGAACUGUUGCCUUGUUACUCAACCCAGCUAAUCCUUCCCUGUCGAGCCUCACCUGUGACUCAUCCUGAGGGGAGGACUGGACUGCAUUAAGCACACCUCUCCAGCUAACUGGGGCAGAGAAGGAACCAGGCUGGACAGAGGCUGACACAGAGCUGGUUUGGGUUGUUUUCUUUCACAAUAUGUAAAUAAACACCGGUUGUGUAGCUGCCUUUUUGUCUGAGUGAGUGUUCCUGAGUCCCCGCUAGGCACUCCAGCUGGGGUGGGGCAGCACUGGCCUAGGGCUUCUGCCGCGUUGGUGGAGAAUGCAGGCACCAGCCCGGCCUCGCUGGGUGUUGUUAGGCCCUCGGCAACUGCUUGUUGCCAGUGCUGCCCUGUUGAUAAGGUCGUGUGUGACGUUCAGUAUUUGGGUUAAUUUUCACAUCUGUUUCUGCUUGUGAGUAAUAAGGGACUGAAACCUGGACCAGGAAAACACCAAGAAGAGCCCAGUAGGCAGUCAGCCGACAGCAGACUGAUUCUUCGACCGGUUGGAUCUCUUCUACCGGGCGGUGGAGCAAUGGGCAGGGACAUGCAGCCCAUCCUUGAAGUUGAAGGUUUGACUUGAGUUGCUGUGCAGUCCGAAGAGGCGGCAGAUGGGGACCCUGGAGCUUGCAUGGUGCGUUUGGUGUGGGGAACCCAGAUACCACCCACAACACUGCGGCUACAUGGAGCCAGGGUUCUGCUAUUGCUAUGAUGAACUUGUGGAGACCAGGCCAGAGAACCUUGUGUGUGGGGAAUGUCCUCCCUCCUUUCCUGUUCCUGCAGUGCCUACUGAUUCCCCAGCACCACUCACUGUCCUGGAGACUGUUCCUGUGGUGCCUCCUGGCCUUCUGAUGCCUCCUGGCCCUCUCGAAUUACCCCCUGUCCCAGAGUCCAUUGCUACUGCACUGCCUGGCCCUCCGGUGUCAUCCAGUAACCCAGAGGCCAUUCCUCUGGUGCCUCCUGAUCCUCCGGUGCCACCUCUCACCCUGGAGUUAGUCCCUGCUGCAUCACCUGACCCUCUGGUGCCGCCGGCUGCCCCGGGGGUCAUUUGCACAGCACUGCCUGGCCUUCUGGUGCCCUGGUGGAUGCUUGGGAGCUGUCCUGCUUGGUUGUGGUGCCCUCUCCACCUUGCCCUUCUUCUGGGUGCCCAGCAAUAGGGACUUGCUGGGUCUUUCACCCUGGUGGCUGUGCUCGAAAGGGGAGGGGGGCUUAUUGUAGUAUGGAAUGGAGCUGCUGCCUUGUUACUCAACCCAGCUGAUCCUUCCCUGCCGAGCCUCACCUGUGACUCAUCCUGAGGGGAGGACUGGACUGCAUUAAGCGCACCUCUCCAGCUAACUGGGGCAGAGAAGGAACCAGGCUGGACAGAGACUGACACAGAGCUGGUUUGGGUUGUUUUCUUUCACAAUAUGUAAAUAAACACCGGUUGUGCAGCUGCCCUUU